This 487-nucleotide long non-coding RNA is filed under the name Marmota monax (woodchuck). Lineage: Eukaryota; Metazoa; Chordata; Mammalia; Rodentia; Sciuridae. The record is from RNAcentral.
GACGCCGCGGGCAGCAGCUCGGGACCCGACCGAGGAAAAGGCCACUUGGAGGAGGGGGUCGCUGCUUCGUUCUUAUUUGCAAAACGGUCCCGCAAGGCCGAGGGAGAAAAGUCUGGUAAACUCGGGCAUAAGGAGAGGUCUGUGGCGCCAGAUGUCCCUGACUCCGCAAUGCUAGUUCCUGGAAAGACCAAAAAGUGUUUGAGGCCUAAGGCCUGACCGUGAUAACCCAAGCAACCCCCAGCAACAACCAAUCAGCAUGAGACAGGGAAGAUAUCUGGAAGAGAAGAUAUCUUAUCCGGGGGAUCCCCCAGACCCCAGCACCCUCAAACCGGAGAAUCUGACACCAAUCGAGAAAUUCUUCAAAGAUCCUGGCGCUUAAGGAGGACACAGGCCGUGGCGGCCAGAGCCCCCAACCUGUCCUCCUGCCCCCGAACCCCUUUACCCAGCUCUGCAGAGCGGCAUGGACGAGGAACUCCUGUCUCCGCCA